This 497-nucleotide ribosomal RNA is filed under the name uncultured bacterium. Its description in RNAcentral is "partial 16S ribosomal RNA". It matches the Rfam family "Bacterial small subunit ribosomal RNA", at positions 28 to 507 of the family's 1533-position model. The record is from RNAcentral.
GACGAACGCUGGCGGCGUGCCUAAUACAUGCAAGUAGAACGCUGAAGCGAGGAGCUUGCUCUUCUUGGAUGAGUUGCGAACGGGUGAGUAACGCGUAGGUAACCUGCCUUGUAGCGGGGGAUAACUAUUGGAAACGAUAGCUAAUACCGCAUAACAAUGGAUGACACAUGUCAUUUAUUUGAAAGGGGCAAUUGCUCCACUACAAGAUGGACCUGCGUUGUAUUAGCUAGUAGGUGAGGUAAUGGCUCACCUAGGCGACGAUACAUAGCCGACCUGAGAGGGUGAUCGGCCACACUGGGACUGAGACACGGCCCAGACUCCUACGGGAGGCAGCAGUAGGGAAUCUUCGGCAAUGGGGGCAACCCUGACCGAGCAACGCCACGUGAGUGAAGAAGGUUUUCGGAUCGUAAAGCUCUGUUGUAAGUCAAGAACGGGUGUGAGAGUGGAAAGUUCACACUGUGACGGUAGCUUACCAGAAAGGGACGGCUAACUACGUG